This 774-nucleotide ribosomal RNA is filed under the name uncultured Neocallimastigales. RNAcentral describes it as "partial large subunit ribosomal RNA". It matches the Rfam family "Eukaryotic large subunit ribosomal RNA", at positions 23 to 616 of the family's 3401-position model. The record is from RNAcentral. Lineage: Eukaryota; Fungi; Neocallimastigomycota; Neocallimastigomycetes; Neocallimastigales.
ACACGCAUGACACACUGCAUAUCAAUAAGCGGAGGAAAAGAAACUAACUAGGAUUCCCUCAGUAACGGCGAGUGAAGCGGGAAGAGCUCAAAUUUGAAAUCUUCAAGGUUUCUACCUUGACGAAUUGUAGUUUAAAGAAGUGUUUUCUGUUGGAGUUUUGGUAAAAGUUCUUUGGAAUAGGACAUCAUAGAGGGUGAGAAUCCCGUAUUUGACCAUUAUUUCCAGCUGUGUGAUACACUUUCUAAGAGUCGGAUUGUUUGGGAAUGCAGUCCAAAAUGGGUGGUAAAUUUCAUCUAAAGCUAAAUACUGGUGAGAGACCGAUAGCGAACAAGUACCGUGAGGGAAAGAUGAAAAGAACUUUGAAAAGAGAGUUAAACAGUACGUGAAAUUGUCAAAAGGGAAGCGUUUGACACCAGUGUUGUUUUCUCGAAAAUCAAUUAAAAAAGGCCGGAUUUUGUGUUGUAUUGACCUUAAAAGCUUUCUUCACUCUUUUCUUGUCUUUUUUAAUGCACUUUUCGUUUAACAAGUCAACAUCAGUUUCUUUUGCUGUAAAAGAGUCAUUGGAAGGUGGCUUUUCUUUCGGAAAAGUGUUUAUAGCCUUUGACUUCUGCAAGUCGGAGAGAUUGAGGUCUGCAGCGUAGAUCCUUCGGGGUUAGAUACGUUUGUGCUAAGCUAUAGCCUUUCAUAGACAACUUGUUGACUAUGAUCAGUCUGUAGCUUACUCGCUGAUGCUAUUUUACCUACGCUUAGGAUGUUGAGCGCAUGUCUCUCUCU